This 911-nucleotide long non-coding RNA is filed under the name Homo sapiens (human). RNAcentral describes it as "long intergenic non-protein coding RNA 1503". Lineage: Eukaryota; Metazoa; Chordata; Mammalia; Primates; Hominidae. The record is from RNAcentral.
GGCUGCACAGUCACACGCGGCGCCCCAUUAAAGCGGCCGUCCCGGGCGCGCGCCUCAUUCGAGGCGACGGGCUCCGGGCCCUGAUAGAUGGGGUGCGGGGACGGAGACAAAUGACGGCCUUUGGGCUCGGAAUACCCACCUUUCUGGUAAUGCAGCCCAGCGGGUCCCAGCCUCGUUUUCCAGCCCUCACUCAAAAUGGAGUCGCUCUGGUUCGAACGCCUCUGACAAGUGUGUACCUACGUGUCAGGCCCAUCCUUCCUGCAGGCCUUUGUCUUGGUGUCACCCUGCCUGAGCUGGCCCCAACCACAGUAGCAACAGUGAUGCUGAUGUGUGACUGCUGCCAGGAGCCUGCUCACAUGACCGUGUGGAGAAAGUUCUUUCCCUGAGGACCAUCUGGAGUGGACGCGUGCACUACCCCUCUCUGAAUACACCCUCCCCACGAGGCCCUCUGGAGCAUCCUGUAGAGCCAGCCCCUACCCAGAGACCCUGAGCCCAGAGAAUGCGCUGGGUGGUGAGCCUGGGGACGAAUGCAGAGCCCUAGGUCUCCUCUCCAGAAGUUGGAGUGCCAUGGUGUGGUCAUAGCCCACUGAAGCCUCAAACCUCUGGGCUGAAGCCAUCCUUCCGCCUCAGCCUCCCAAGUAGCUGGGACCAUAGGUGCAUGGCACUGUGCCUGGCACUGUCUGAAUGCAUACAGCUGCGUAGCAUCGUGGUAAGAACACCCGCCCUGACAUCACACAGACCUGCAUCCACGUCCCAGCUGAGCCUCAGUUCUCACAUCUGCAAAAUGGGGAGAACAACAGCAGCAGCGUCCUGAGGCUGGGGUGAGGACCGAGUGAAAAACCUUUGUCGCAUCUUUGGGCAUCGCAGGAGUUCAAUAAAUGUUAGCUAUCGUUGUCACUUUGUAUUAUCCA